Molecule: ribosomal RNA, 491 nt
Filed under: uncultured bacterium
Lineage: Bacteria
Description: partial 16S ribosomal RNA
Rfam family: Bacterial small subunit ribosomal RNA
Source: RNAcentral
AUUGAACGCUGGCGGCAUGCUUUACACAUGCAAGUCGAACGGUAACAGGCCUUCGGGUGCUGACGAGUGGCGAACGGGUGAGUAAUGCAUCGGAACGUGCCCAGAGGUGGGGGUAACGCAGCGAAAGCUGUGCUAAUACCGCAUGUGAUCUGAGGAUGAAAGCGGGGGACCAGGCAGCAAUGUUUGGCCUCGCGCCUUUGGAGCGGCCGAUGUCAGAUUAGGUAGUUGGUGGGGUAAAGGCCUACCAAGCCGACGAUCUGUAGCUGGUCUGAGAGGACGACCAGCCACACUGGGACUGAGACACGGCCCAGACUCCUACGGGAGGCAGCAGUGGGGAAUUUUGGACAAUGGGCGCAAGCCUGAUCCAGCAAUGCCGCGUGCGGGAAGAAGGCCUUCGGGUUGUAAACCGCUUUUGUACGGAACGAAAAGGCUCUGGCUAAUACCUGGGGCUGAUGACGGUACCGUAAGAAUAAGCACCGGCUAACUACGUG